RNAcentral lists this ribosomal RNA (253 nucleotides) under uncultured bacterium. RNAcentral's name for it is "partial 16S ribosomal RNA". It matches the Rfam family "Bacterial small subunit ribosomal RNA", at positions 524 to 776 of the family's 1533-position model. The record is from RNAcentral.
UACAGAGGGUGCGAGCGUUAAUCGGAUUUACUGGGCGUAAAGGGCGCGUAGGCGGUUAUGUAAGUGAGAUGUGAAAUCCCUGGGCUUAACCUAGGAACUGCAUCUCAUACUGCGUAGCUAGAGUAUUGUAGAGGGUAGUGGAAUUUCCGGUGUAGCGGUGAAAUGCGUAGAUAUUGGGAAGAACACCGGUGGCGAAGGCGGCUCACUGGCUCAUUACUGACGCUCAGGCGCGAUAGCGUGGGGAUCAAACAGG